UUCCUUCUUCUUUCCUCCAUUGCCGAACCUUCCUACCAUCUUGUUCAUCUCCAUUUUUCUCUUCAACCGUUUCAAAACCUUAAUAGCCUGUGGCCAUAAAAAGCCGAAAUCCCGAAAGCUUGAUUCUUUUUGUGCCGAUUUCUUAUAACCAAAACCACAUCUCUUCUCUUUAUCAUUUGUGGCCGAUUCACCAGCCCUAUAAAACCUCAAUUUUUGACAACAAGACCAUAGCAAAACCCUCUCGUUUUACCUUUCUAAAAAUAAGUUGAAAAAGCCGAAAACCCCACAUUAAAAGGGACUUGGCCGAAUACUAAAGUCACUGAAAACCCGACUUUUGUUAUCAUCUGAGGGCUUAGAUCUACAUCAGGAUCGAGUGGGAAACUCAUUGGAAUCAUUCACUACGGAAUCGGGGGUAAGUCUUCUCCAAAACUUAGUCUUCUUAUAUAUUUUAGGAAAAGCCGAAAUCCCUAAAAGUUAGGGAGGUUGUCGAUUUGGACUUGUAACCCUGAGGGGUCGUAAUAACUAUUUUGUUUUGGUAAUAGCAUGAUUUAGAGGUGGUUGAUCAAGGGCUUAGAUAGGUGGAACGAUCGGAUCUUUGGAGUUAACCAUCUUUCGGUAGUAAGGUAAGAGCAAUAAGGGUUUUAGGCAUGUUUGGCUGAAUGUGGUAGGGGACUAUAUACUCAAUCUUAUUUCGAUAUUUGGAGUAAUAUUAAGUGAUUCAAUUGUAGGCAGUUCGUGUGUAGAUCUCGUCGAGGAAAUCCCAAAAAUAGGUGUGUAACUGACACCCUCUCAUAGGCUAGAUCGGCAAAAGUCGAAAAGCCGAAAUGCCGAAAAGCCGGUAUUUUGGGCACUUGCGAGUGUGCGAAUGCUCGUAAGACGUAUGGGUAAUUAUUACUGGUAAUCGAAAGUGAUAAAACUGCAGUACGCGCGAUUUCGUGCGUUUUGAUAUUUUGGGCUUAAUGGGCCAAAACUGGGUUAAUGGGCCAACGGGCCCAAUUCGGUAAGAGCACUCGGUAAGUGUUUCUGGCUAAACGUAAUGGCUACGAUAUGCAUGAAAACCUUAGAAAUAGUUAGAUGUACUAGAAUACCCCUAUGUAUGCAAAAUUACCAUUAUACCCCUAUGUAUGUAAAAUUACCAUUAUACCCCUAUGUAUGCAAAAUGACCUCUAUACCCCUAGGGUUAAUUUUGUCUGAAAAGCAUGAUGAAUUAAAUCUUUAUGAUGUAUUCCAUGAAUGUAUAUCUGUUGCAUGGGGACAUGGGUUAUAUUAUGGAGGAAGCGUCCUGGUGGCUAUGCCACAAAUUAUCUGUUCUGGUGGCCCUGCCACAUAUAUCUGUUCUGGUGGCAUUGCCAUAAAAUAUCUGUAUUUGGUGACUCUGUCACAUUUUCUGUAUCUGGCAGCCAUGCUGCAUAUUUCUGUGGAGUGUAGCGGUUGGGUGGGUCGAGUAGUCUCCCCAUAUGGUGAAAGGAUGGUAUGGGGGUGCACAUGGUUGGAUAUGGUUGGGUUUCUGCAUAAGCAUGAUAUAUCUGUUCUGAUCUGUUCUGGGCCUAUGGGCUUUAUUCUGAAAUCUGUUCUGGGCUAAGGCCAACUUAUUCUGUCUCUGUGGUUUGAACUGAUUUAGGCUAUGGUUGGGUUGAAUUACACACUGAGUUUCCCAAAACUCACCCCCUAUUUUUUUUCUUCGCAGGUAAUCCUCAACCAUAGUGGGCUUGGAGCUGUGAGAGAUUCGGACUGGCCACCUGUUUCUACGAACCUGGUUUUUUUCUGGUGAACUGGACGUCCUUUUAAUUUCAUUUAUGGUUUUGGGUUUUAAAUGUAAUAAGGCCGCUUAACUAUUUUUAUGGUUUUGUUUUACUUUUAUUAUUUUAUUUUAUUAUGAUGAAAAACUAUGAUAACUAAGGAAAAUGGGUUAGCUUUAGGACACGUUUUCAAAAACAUUAAGUGAUUUCAAAAUAACACGAUUACAAGUAAGAUUUCCGCUAAGCAAACGUUUUCAAACUUAAUCACUUUAUUAGGAUGGACUUAACCAAAUGGUUUUCUCACAAUUAUACGAGAUGUUAGAGUGUGGCAAUGGCGGUGUGCAUGUCUAGGAUUGGAUCCGAAGGGAGCUUGGUACUUAAGCAGUCCGACAGACUCACCUCCUCUUUUUUUGGUUUCCUACCUGGUGCACAGCUCCCAUUCACUUUAACCUCUAUUAAAAGUAUCUUUUACAUCACCAAUAAGGUUUUCCAAACUAAGUAAUACGGAAUGUUUUGUACACAUCAAUGUGGCGCACCGGAUCCGGUCAUAACGUCUAGGCCGGAUUUGGGGUGUUACAGAUUUGAUAUAAGUGUAUAAAUAAAAAUAUACACAUUUGUAAUACAAGUAUUUGAUAAUAAAUAGAUAUUUAUUUAAAUAUUAUAUUAUUUCUAUAAUUAUUAAUUAAUAUUAAUAUUAAUAUUAUAUUAUAUUAUGAAAUAAAUUAAAAUAGUGACAAAUGUGUGGUAAUUAUAAAAUACAUGUGUAAUAAAUUGAAUACAUACAUUUGUAAUAUGUAUAUGUAAUUAUUAGUAGAUAUUUAUUAAUUAUAAAAGAUAUUUAUUAAUUAAAUAUUUAUAUUAUAAGAUUUUUAUGUAAUAAAUAUAUUAAAUUAUGACAAGUGUGUAGAUAAUAAAUGGAUACAAUUGUAAAAUAAAUAUUUGAUAUUAAUUAGAUAUUUAUUAAGUUAACAUAUUAUAUAUAUAAAGUAAAACAAAAGAAAAAGAAAUGAAAAAAAAAGAUAGAAAAGAAACAGAAUGAAACGAAACAGAGAGCAAGGAAGGGAAGAAAAGAAAGAAAGAGAGAAAAGGGAAAUUUGGGAUUUCAAGGUUUGAAAGUUUAAUUGGUAAGUCAAUUUAACCCUUUUUACUUAAUUUUGAUGUUUUAGAAGCUUUAGAACAAGAUUUUGAUGAAAUUAAGUUGAUAUUUUGAAAAUUAUUAGAUUUCUAGAUAAUGUUCAUGUUGAGUAAAAUGAUGAAUUAAGGACUAAAUUGAUAGAAAUUCAAGUUAGAAAUGAAAUAAGGAUUGAAUUGUAAAGUGAUUCAUAAGUUUUAUGCUUUAAAGACUAAAUUGAAAGAAUUUUGAAAUUAUGGUUUUAUGAUGAAAAAUAGAUAAUUAUGUCUAAGUUUGGUUAAAAAUUUAGUAGAAAUAAAGAAUGAAUUAAGAUAGAAAAGUAAGUGAAUUUAGUUUGGAUUAAAUUGAAAUUAAAAGUAGAAAAUCAACAUUUUGCACUAAGACUUUUUGGGACAGCAGCAGUAGUCUAAGUUUGAAAAAUCACCAAAAAUGUAUAAAUUGAAUUAGAGGAUGAAUAAAAUAUGGGAUUAAAUAUUAUUGAGUCUAGUUUCUUAUAGAAGAAAUGGUAUAAGCAAUUGAAUUGUAAAUUAUGAGAUAUAAUGAAUUUUGUUAGACAAUGUCAGAAUGAAUUCGGGUUCCUAUGUUCUGACUUUGGAAAAUCACCAAAAAUUGGAGAAAAAUAAUUAGAGGCUUAAAUUUAUAUGUUUAGAAUCCGUAAUGAGUCUACUUUCAGGAGAAAUCAACAGGAAUAUUAUCCGAGUUUUGUACUGUGAGAUAAUUAAUUUUUAGUGAAGAAGGGUCGAAACUGUCAGACAACAGAAUAGGGGUGAAUUUAAAGAAUAAACUGUACUUAAUGGCUAAACCAAAAAUUCUGAAAAUUUUAUGAUAAGAAUAUUUGUGAGUCUAGUUUCAGGAAAAAUUAGCGGAUCUUAAUUUAGAAUUCUGUAACUCAAGAUAUAAAUUAGUAAUGUAUUAAUGAUUAUGAAUUGUAUUAAUUUCGUAGUCAAUGUGGUACCGGAAAUCUCGGCUAAGAAAGGACUAGACAAAGUCAACGGGAGUUAGCUCAAAAAUUACGGUUUGUAUUUCUAUAGCCCGAACUUAAUAUUUAAUUAUUGAAUUUAUUAUUUAUUAUGUAUGGUAGGUGCAUUGAUUAAAUUAUUUGAAAUAAAAUGAAUAUUGAUUGAAAUUAAAAGGUGAAUUUAAUUAAUAAUUGUUGUAUUUUAAUUGAAUGUUAUGGUAAAUAAUUAAAGUAUGAAUUAUUGGUAUUGUGUUUUUAUUGAAAUGAUUUGAUUUGAAAAUGUGGUGAAAUAAUUAUGAACAUGUGUUUAUUGUGAAAUUGAAUAUUUAUUAGUGAAAAGUGAAUGGAAUUAUAUUGAAUUGAAAAAAAAUAUAAUUAAUUAAUUAAAUAUGAAUUAAUUGAAAACUGAAAAGUGAAUUAAAUACCCUAUUAACUAGUCGGGCUAGUCGGAUAUAGUUGGCAUGCCAUAGGAUAUGAAAGUGUACAGGUUUUUGUCGGCUUACUGAUCAGGCACUUAUGUGCCGACUACUGUUACUGUUACCGUUAUUAUUACCGAUUCGGCACUUUUUGUGUCGGAUAUUGUUACUGUUACUGUUUUGGAUUUGUUUUGAUGAGGUACUCUAUGUACCGUAUUGCUACUGUUACUGUUAUUGUUUCGGCUUCGGCCGAUAAGGCACUAUGUGCCGUACUGGUGUGUUGGUUGGAUCCGUGUAUCCGUCUGAGUCCGAGUCAUGUUAAUAGGGGUAAGUAAAGGAACUGGAAAGAUCGACUGUUACUGAAUAACUGAUUAUUAUUGAAUAAUUGAUUGUUACCGAAUAACUGACUGUUACUGAAUAAAUAAUCGUUCUGAUUGACUGGUUGUUAAUGAAUAUUACUGAUUGAUUAAUUGCUAUUGAAAAAUAAUAAAUGAUUUUGAAUUUAAAGUAGACCAAAACAUUGGUUGGAAAGUGAAUGUUUGAAUACUCAUUGAGUUUGAAUAGUUCAAUAUAUAAAAAUUAAUAUGUUUUAUAAUUGUUUAAGUGUUCGGAUUAUAGAAAUACCACUGAGUGUAUACUCAACGUACGGUUUGUUUCCGUGCGCAGGUUAAGGUUAGACCGUUGAAUCAGCAUCCCAGGCCGAUCCCGAAUUCAAUGCGUUAAAGUAUGUUGAGUAUUGGUAAUGGCAUGUACCUAGGAUGUCUUAUGAGAGUCAUUUAGGUUGUGAAAGUAUUGAUAAAAUAAGUAAAUUAUGGUUGGCAAUGGUAUAUAGUAUGAAUCUGAAAUUUGAAAGAAAAAUUCGUAGUAAUUCAAAAUUAGUUCCGAAUUGAUUUUACUGUUCAUAUUAGAUCGCAAGGGCCCAUUAAAGGGAUGACAUCUUAAAAUUAUGAUGAGUCUGAACGUUUAUAUUUAAUUAAUGUCUGUAUUGUACUCUACUGACUGGUAAUGUCUUGUAACCCUGUUCCGGCGACGGUAUGGGGUUAAGGGACGUUACACAAGAGGAAAAAGCUAAAGCCGAAUAUUGAGAGAAGAAGUUCCAAGAGAUGCAAUCGCGAAAUUUGACCUUAGAAAAAGAAAAUCAAGGUUUAAAGACUAAAGUAACUGAGCUCGGGCGAUCCCUUCAUCUGCAUCGAAGUCGUGAUUCUACGGUUGAGGUAAAAAAAUUAAAAGCCAAAGUUGAGGAGUUGGAAUCAGCAUUACAGGAUAGUAAGCUCCUAAUCGAGCAGUUUGGGGUAUGAGAAGAUCAUUUGAAGGGAGAGCUUCAUCAGUCUAGAGGACAGGUCAGAGAAAGGGAUCACGUCAUUGGAGAAGCCGUAGCCCAGAUUCGAGAGGUUGCUGAACACGUGCAAGACUUGGCAAUACGAGUUGAUGUAUUGAGUUUGAUGUAUGAGUCAUCGUCGGAUAUAGGAUGAGAGUUAGCUUUUUUAUCAGAUAGAGUUAAAAUUUUGGGCAUUAGGGCGAAAGCGUAUUUGUAAUGCUCUUAUAUGUAAGGAUAUUCUUUUUCUAAAUAAAGUUUUGUAAAUGAGAUUGAAUCAGAAUCGAUGUCCUUUUUGCAUUCAUGCAUUUGCAUCUCAUAGCAUUUCAUCGCAUCGUUUGCAUUCAAAGUUAUAGAAAGACCCUAAUUAGUUAAAAUUACCACAGAAGUAGAAAAGAAAAUCUGGAAACCACGCAUUAGUACGGAACUCGUGCAAAAUCUAGGAAUAUAGAUCAAAGGUUUGAACAGCUACAAAAGGACAUGCAGGACCAAUUGCAAGAGAAAUUGGCCAAGAUGCAAAACGACAUGAGGGAGCAAAUGUUAGAGGCUUAGAGGAAUAUGAUGACUGAGAUGGCUCAGUUGCUGAGGGCCACUAAUAAGGGAAAAGCCCCUAUGGCAAUCACUGGUGAGGAGGAAGAGGAUCAUCUUUCAGGCUUUACUCCACCCCACGGGCCUACACAAACUGAGGCACUUCCUAGGAGGCCAUCUGUCACUAUAAGGCCUCAACAUGGACCGGUUGAUGCUGGGAUCCACAUGAAUAACCCAACUAGUUCGGGAUUCAAUUUGGGUGACAACCCUACCAAUCCUCUCAUUCCUGACUUGGAUGUGGCUGAAAAGGAAGAUUUGAGAGCCGAAGCUGCAAAAUAGUUGGAGAAACAUUGUAGAUGGUUGGAGGAGAAAUUUAAGGCUCUAGAGAGUGCUGAUGGGCAUCAUGGAGUUGAUGCCAAAGGCUUGAGUUUAGUCCUAGACUUGGUGCUUCCCCAUAAAUUCAAAAUGUCAGAGUUUGAAAAGUACAAUGGGACUACUUGCCUAGAGGCCCACAUUACGAUGUUCUGUAAGAGGAUGACCGGAUAUGUGAACAAUGAUCAACUGUUGAUUCAUUGUUUCCGAGAUAGCUUAGUGGGAGUAGCAGCCAGGUGGUACAAUCAGUUGAGCCGGGCCAGAAUAAAUUCAUGGAGGGAUCUUGCACAAGCCUUCAUGCAACAAUACAAUCAUGUGACUGACAUAACGCCGGAUAGAAUCACGUUGCAAAAUAUGGAGAAAAAGCCUAAUGAGAAUUUUAGGCAAUAUGCUCAAAGAUGGAGAGAGGCUGCCAUGCAAGUUCAACCACCAUUGUUGGAGAAGGAGAUCACCAUGUUGUUCAUCAACACUCUGAAGGCUCCAUUCAUUACUCAUAUGAUUAGAAGCACUACCAAAAGUUUUGCGGACAUAAUCAUGGCGGGAGAGAUGAUUGAGAACGCCAUAAGAGGUGGCAAAAUUGAGGGGGAAGCAGCCAAAAGAUCGGCUCCAAAGAGAAAAGACAAUGAGGUAAAUAACACAAGUAGCUUCAACUCGAAGGCAGUCAUAGUUAGUCAACCCAAAGUAGCUGCGGUUGGGCAACAAGGUUCUCAAAGGCAGGAAUCGUGCACAAGGCACGAGAGGAUGCAAUUCACACCUAUCCCUGUGACGUAUCGUGAGCUUUAUCAAAGCUUAUAUGAUGCACAUGCUAUUGCUCCUUUCUUCUUGAAACCAUUACAGCCUCCAUAUCUUAAAUGGUAUGAUGCAAAUGCUAGAUGCGAAUACCACGCUGGAAUAUCAGGGCACUCAAUUGAAAAUUGUACCGGAUUCAAGAAGGCUGUGGAGAGGUUGAUCAAGAUGAGGGUUGUGAAAUUUGAUAAUACCCCAAAUACGGAAAACCCUUUGCCAAAUCAUGACGAUCAAGGAGUGAAAACAAUUGGUGAAGCUAGUGAGAGAAGGAUGAAGGAAAAUGUUGCUGAGGUAAGGAUGCUUAUGAAGGUGAUUUGGGAGGAGAUGAUGAAGAGAGGGAUGAUAACCUCUAGGAGAGAAAGAGAAAAAAUGGGGAACUACUGUGAGUUCCAUGGAAAAGAGGGUGAUGAGACCCAAAAUUGUGAAGAAUUCAGAGCCUUGGUGCAAGGUUUUAUAGAUAAUAAAGAGCUACAAAUUUUUGAAGGUAGCUCUUACAAAAGAGAAAUAAGUGUGCUGGAAGAUGAACAAAAAGGAACCAGUCGGCCAAGGAUUAUUAUCUCCCUGCCAGGGAAUAACGAAGUGGAGACACCAGCAGUGCCCAAGGUCAUUAUCCGUAAGCCUACUCUUUUCCUUUACAAGGAUAGCAAGAGAGUACCAUGGAGUUGUGACUGUAGUGUGACAGUGCCGGAGAAAGAAAAUAUAGCCAGCACAUCUAAAGACGUACAAGUUGAAGGUUCCCACACGCGGAGUGGGAAGCGUUAUGAUACGGGGGGUGUCAGAGUGGAGCCCACAAAAACAAAAGGUGUCGAGGUUGAGAAGGAGAAAGAGACCGAAGUACCCAUCAAUGAGCCAGUAAAGGAGAAGGAGGCUAAGGAAUUUCUAAAGUUCCUUAAGCAUAGCGAGUAUAGCAUGGUCAAGCAAUUGCGUAAGCAGUCGGCUCGCAUAUCAGUAUUGGCUCUACUUUUGAGUUCUGAGGCGCAUAGGGAAGCAUUGAUGAAGGUGCUUAACGAAACAAAUGUCACCCAUGACAUAUCCGUUAAUAAGCUGGACCGAUUGGUGAACAACAUUAGUGCGGAUAAUUUCAUCUACUUUAAUGAUGAUGAAAUCCCACCGGGAAGCAGAGGGUCAACUAAGGCUUUGCACAUUACCACUCGAUGCAAGGGGUACACACUCCCAAGCGUACUCGUUGAUAAUGGAUCGGCUUUGAAUGUUCUACCGUUGUCUACAUUAAACAGAUUACCCAUUGACGAUUCUCACAUGAAGACAUGUCAGAAUGUGGUAAGAGCCUUCGACGGUACAGAAAGGAAGGUGAUGGGAAGAAUUGACAUUCCCUUGGAAAUUGGGCCGAACAUGUAUGAAGUAGAUUUCUUAGUAAUGGAUAUCAAGCCUUAUUACAAUUGCUUAUUAGGCAGGCCAUGGAUACACUCAGCAAGAGCAGUGCCCUCAUCGUUGCACCAGAAAUUGAAAUUAGUGACAGAUGGACGGUUAAUAACCAUCAAUGCGGAGGAGGACAUUAUAGCCGCAGUCACUAGUAAGACCCCUUAUGUCGAGACAAACGAAGAAUCUAUUGAGUGUUCCUUUCGCUCUUUAGAAUUCGUAAAUGCGACUUUCAUUUUGGAAGGGAGUGAGCUCCCGGUGCCAAGGAUAGCAAGAGCUAUGAGGAUGGCUCUACAAAUAAUGGCAGGAAAGGGAGCCUUACCAGGAAGAGGUUUAGAAAAGUAUCUGCAAGGAGGGACUCAGAUCCCAAAGUUGAUUGAGAAGAAAGACCACUUUGGUUUGGGCUUCAAGCCAGACUAUAAGCAAAGGAGGAAAGACAUCGAGAAGCGCCAAGAAAGGAGAAGGGCGCGUUUAGAUGGAAGAGAAGUGGGGUGGGAAUCAAUGACAUUCUCUCUUAUAUCUAAAACCUUCAUAUCAAAAGGAUUACUUGUAGAAGAGAGUCAUCAGAUUAAUGCUGCACACGACGAAGGAUUAGAGCAAAGAAACCUUGAGGGCAUUCGCCCUUACGAAUCGGGAAGCUCUCUGAACAAUUGGACUACGGAGGAACUUCCUGUAGUCUUUAGGAAUUUUUCAGAGUAAUUCUCGAAACAUUCUUCUAACUCUAGAGCCUAGGAGUAAUAGAAUUACAUUUGUGAAAUAGGCUUAUGAUCAUCUAUUAUCUUUUUAAUAAAACAUAUCUUUUAUCAAUUCAACGAGUAUUGUUUCAUUUUUAUCAACUAAUAUUUCGUUAAAAUUUUUACAAUUCUCAUUCUUUCAUUCAUAGUACAUAAAUAAUCAUUCUUAAAUUCAUUCAUUCUUUGUAUAUUCUUUGUACUUCUCAGAUCUCUAGAUAUCAAUUACAUGAGCAUUGAUAUUACAAAUCCUGAUUUCUCUCGCGAGCAAGACAUGUGUUUAGAGGAAUCCCUGGAUUUUGAAGAUGUCCAAGAUUGUGAUGUGUCUCUAGAUCUUUUGAAGAUGGUGAAAUAGGAGGAGAAACAAAUCAUGCCACAUGAGAAAGAGGCAAUAGAGAAUGUAGCCUUAGAGGAAGGGAAAGAGGUGAAAAUUGGGACACUUAUUGCCAAGGACACAAGGCAAGGACUGAUUAAGCUGCUAAGUGAAUUCAAGGAUAUCUUCGCAUGGUCCUAUCAGGAUAUGCCAGGGUUAAAUACCGAUAUUGUGGUGCAUCGUCUUCCAAUAAGACAGGAUUGUAAGCCAGUCCAACAAAAGUUGCGGAGAAUGAGGCUAGAUAUUGUUUUGAAAAUAAAGGACGAAGUUAAGAAGCAGUUCAAUUCGGGAUUCUUACAAGAAGUAAAGUACUCAGAAUGGGUAGCUAACAUUGUGCCUGUUCCAAAGAAGGAUGGAAGGUACGAAUGUGCAUUGAUUACAGAGAUCUGAACAAAGCUAGCCCAAAGGACAAUUUUCCUUUGCCACACAUCGACACUUUAGUAGACAACACAGCAGGAUAUUCGUUGUUCUCUUUCAUGGAUGGUUUCUCGGGGUACAAUCAGAUAAAGAUGCAUCCAGAGGACAUGGAUAAAGCUACCUUCAUAACCUUGUUGGGUACCUUUUGCUACAAAGUGAUGCCGUUUGGGUUGAAGAAUGCGGGGCAACAUACCAGCGGGCCAUGGUGAACUUGUUCCACGACAUGAUGCAUAAGGAUAUUGAGGUGUAUGUUGAUGAUAUGAUUGCCAAGUCGCGUACAGAAAAAGAGCACAUUGAGGUCUUGAGAAGAUUGUUCUUGAGAUUGAGAAAGUUUCAGUUGAAGCUCAAUCCAGCAAAGUGUACCUUUGGAGCUAGAUCAGGAAAGUUAUUAGGCUUUUAGUCAGUGAAAAGGGAAUUGAAGUUAACUCGGACAACGUCAGAGCCAUACGAGAAUUACCUCCACCACAAACUCAGAAGGAAGUUCGAGGAUUUCUAGGAAGACUGAAUUACAUUGCUCGGUUUAUUUCACAACUAACUGAGAAGUGUGAUCCCAUCUUUCGCCUCUUUAAAAAGCACAAUCAAGGUACUUGGGAUGAGGAAUGCCAGAAUGCUUUUGAAAAGGUCAAACAGUACUUGUUGAAUGCUCCGGUGUUAUCUCCGCCCAGUUCAGAUAGACCACUAAUACUGUACUUAUUAGAAUUCAGCAAUUUCAUGGGAUGUGUGCUUGGCCAACAUGAUGAGUCAAGAAGAAAGGAGAAGGCGAUAUAUUACCUCAGUAAGAAAUUCACCGAAUGUGAAAUAAGAUACUCGCCUAUCGAAAAAUUGUGUUGCGUUCUGAUUUGGACAACUCGGAGGUUAAGACAGUACAUACUAUAUCAUACUACUUGGCUUAUUUCAAAACUUGAUCCUUUGAAAUAUAUGAUGGAGUCAACAUCGUUGAAUGGGAGAAUGGCGAGAUGGCAAAUACUGCUUUCAGAAUUUGAUAUAGUCUAUGUGAGUCAAAAGGCUAUAAAAGGAAGCGCGAUAGUAGAAUUCCUCGCUAGUAGAGCUUUAGAAGACUAUGAGCCAUUGAAUUUUGAUUUCCCAAAUGAGGAGUUGAUGUGUGUAGCAACUACAGAGGAUUGUCUUUGGAAGUUGAGCUUUGAUGAGGCAUCCAAUGCAGUGGGAAAUAGAAUUGGGGCAGUCCUGGAAUCCCCGAAUGGCGAUUAUUAUCCAUUCACAUACAAGUUAGUUUUUGAUUGCACAAACAAUAUGGCCGAGUAUGAAGCAUGCAUCAUGGGACUCCAAGCGACAAUAGCGCGAGGAAUAAGAACCUUGGAAGUAUAUGGAGACUCUGCAUUGGUAAUUUAUCGGCUUAGAGGUGAAUGGGAGACAAGGGAUCCUAAAUUGAUCAAUUAUUGAAAGAUAGUUUUGGGGUUACUUGAGGAGUUCGAUGACAUCACUUUCAAUUAUAUCCCGCGAGACGAAAACCAGAUGGCAGAUGCUCUAGCAACCUUGGCUUCAAUGAUUAGAAUUAAUAAAGAGGAGGAGAUGAGACCCAUUCAGAUGAGUAUUUUUGAGGCUCCAGUUUGUUGUUGUAACAUUGAGGAAGAAGAAAAGGAUGAUAACCCUUGGUAUUAGGAUAUAUUGUGAUAUGUGAGAGAUCGUAAAUACCCAAAACAAGCAACUGAAAAUGAUAAGCGAACUUUAAGGAGAUUAGCCUGUGAUUACGUUUUGGACAGGGACAUCUUGUACAAAAGAAGAAAGGACCAAGUACUUUUGAGAUGUGUUGACGCCGUGGAGGCUAAGUUAAUUUUAGAAGAGGUUCACGAGGGUGUUUGUGGGACACACGCUAAUGGUUUCACGAUGGCUAGACAAAUCAUGAGGUUUGGAUAUUAUUGGUCUACUAUGGAAGGGGAUUGUAUCAACUACAUCAAGAAAUGCCAUAAAUGUCAGAUUUAUGGAGACAAGAUACAUGUACCACAUUCACCUCUACAUGUUAUGACUUCUCCAUGGCCCUUUUCCAUGUGGGGCAUGGAUGUCAUUGGGCCAAUAUCACUGAAAGCUUCGAAUGGACAUCGGUUUAUCUUCGUGGUCAUUGACUACUUCACAAAAUGGGUAGAGGCCGCUUCUUAUGCAAAUGUUACUAAGUCGGCUGUGAGUCGAUUCUUGAAGAAAGAGAUAAUUUGUCGAUAUGGGAUGCCUGAGUGUGACACCCCUAAUGUGACCCUAGUCGGAAAGUGGUUUCGGGACCACAAAACCGAGUCAUAAAAAUAAUUAACCGUCAUACUUGAUGCUUAUUAUAUGUAUAUAUGCAUGUGUGAAAAUUUCAUGUUUGAAUUUUGUUAAUUGAAAGUGAAUUUUAGUAAUAGGACUUAUGUGUGACACUUUGAAAUGUGAUGGGUUAAUCUAUAAGGAUCUAUUAGUUCAUGUUAUGAAAAUAAUGGGUUUGCAUGUCAAAUUUCCACCUAUGACAAGUAGUGGCCGGCCAUGCUAUGGGAUGAAAUGUAUUAUAAACAUUUUAUGUUAGUGUUUUAUGUUAGAAAUAAUAAAAUAAAGAACAUGGGUAAUAAAAUAAUAGUGGUUAGUAGGGGAGAAACAAAAAAAUUAGCUAGGUUGCUCCUCCAUUGCCGUGACUUGAGGGAGGAAGAAGAAAGUUUGGUUGCUUUAAUUUUUGGCUUAGAAGAUGGCUAGAAGGAGGAAAAACUAUGAUUUUAGCUAGUUAGGUAGCUGAAAUUUCAAGUAACUCGGUAAUCCAUCGAAGAAGAGGAAGAGGGCUGCAACAAAAAGAAAAAUGGAGACAGUUUGCAUGUUGAAGGAAACUAAGGAUUUAGCUUGUUUAAGAGUUGUAUCCUAAGUUGGUAAGUUUUCUAAGCUCCCCUCUAUCUUUAACUUUGUUGUAAAGAAAAAAUGAUGAUGGAUUGUGGUUGGAAGGCAUGGAUGUGGGUGGUAGAAAAGAAAAGCUCUUUGAUUAGUUGUAAAAAUUACUACUGUCCAAUUUUGUGCCUUCGUUAUGCUGUCCAAAAUUUGAACAAAUUAAUGGUUCUAUUUUCAUGCCGAUUAGGGGUUGAUAAAUUGAGUCUAAUAGCUAAAAUAUUAUGUUAUUCUUACUAAGUUUCAGUUGUUAGUAGUGACGUAACAAUGUGACAAUUAAAUGCAUAAAUGACUGCUGGAAACUCCAGCUUGAAAACAAAUUGUUCCAGCAUGUAAAUGCUGAUUUGAAUGUGCUGUAAUAUGUGGAGGAAUUGGUCUGCUGCAUGUUUGAAAUAAAAGAAAACAAUGGUUGUUAAAUAUUAGUUUUUGUUGCUAGUCGUAUGGGUUUAAUUCAUUGUUCAAGGGGCUAUAAAUUGGUGUUAAUUAAGCUAUUAGGAUGGUCUAAUAAAACAGCCUGAAUGUUAAAUAAUGCUUGCUGUCCAGAUUGAAAUUAUGCUAGAAGGUUGAACAAAUGGAAUUUUGGAGUGUUUAAUGGACUCCAUGUUGCUAAAAUUUACAUGAAUAGAAAUUUCUAAGCUUAAAUUGUAAGAAUUUGAGUUGUGUGGUUUAAAUUGUCAAAGAUGCAUUUGGCAAUUGAUUAUAAUUUGUUAAAGGGUGUAAAGUAUUGAUAGUUCUAAAUGGUACAUAGUUAAAUGAAGAUGGAAGCUUGAUAAACUUUUAUUUAGAAUGUGAAUUAGAUAUAAAUUAAAUAAGCAUGAAAUCGAAUCAUGGCAUGUUUUAUUAAAUAUGAUACAUAUUGAAAUCUAUUAUUUUAGAUGUAGAUUAAAUGAUAUGUGAUUGCCAAAUGUGAUUGUUAAGUGAAUAAUAUUAGUUAAGUACUUAAGCAAAUCUAUUGUUUUACUUAAGCUUAAGAGCAAAGAGGAUCAAAGUCGGAUAGGGGAAAAGAGAAAGUAAACGAAUAGCCGUGGAUAUCUAGUCGUCGACCACUUCCGAGGUAAGUUUUAAGUGAUUAAACGUUGAGUAAAUUCAAUCAUAAUAGGACAUAAUGAGUUGAUUUAAUAAGAUAUGAUGUGGCCAUGAUAUGUCUUAAACUCAAAUGGUAAGUUCAUAAGUGUUUCGACUUGGAAAUUUAAGAGCAAAUUGCAAUAAUUUGCUUAGGAUAGCAGCCGUAACGUGAUUUUAGAAAAUCACUAUAAAUUUUUGGUGUGGAAUUAUAGGCUGAAUAAAAUAUGUAAUCAAAGCUUAAUUAGUCUAGUUUCUUAUAAAAGAGACCGUGUAAGCAAAGAAAUUUCCUAUAAAGAGAUAUUUAAAGUUGUGUGAGACAGUGUCAGAAUGACUCCGAAAUCCCCUGUCCUGUAUUUAGAAAAUCACUAUAAUUUGUAAAAAAAUGGUUACAAGAUAAAAUUUAUAUGCUUAGACUCCUUAAUUAGUCUAGUUUCAAAUGAAAUCAAAUAGAACAUAUUUUGAAUUCUGUACAAUGAGAAAUUUGAUUCGUAGUGAAGACUGGUCAGAUUAGUCAAACAGUGAAACAGGGGAAACUUUAAGAAAAAUCUGGUAUUGAUUGGCCAAACCAAAAAUUCUUAAAAUUUUCUGGAUAAGAUAUGUAUGAGUCUAUUUCCAGGGAAAAUUAACGGCACUCCAUUUGGAGUUUCGUAGCUCCAUUUACGAAUAAUUUAAUGACUGUUGCUCAGAAAAAACCAGCUUGUGCUGAGUUUGGGAUUUUGUUGUAAACCUUAAUAAAACCAUUUGAGUUGCUUAUAAGCUAUCGAUUAAACAUUGGUAAUCAAAGUACCAAAUCCGUAUUAAAGUGAAGCUAUAAGCCACAAAUGACUAGUAUACCUAGUCAAUUUUAUUAUGAUGAAAUUGAUGUACAAGUAUAUAUAUGUGAUAGGGCCGAGUGGCCAAUGUGAUGAAUGUGAAAGUAUAUAUAUGCGUGAUAAGGCCGAAUGGCCAAUGUGAUGAAUGUGAACAUGUGUAUGUGUGAUAAGGCCGAAUGGCCAAUGUGAUGAAUGUGAACAUGUGUAUGUGUGAUAAGGCCGAAUGGCCAAUGUGAUGAAUGUGAACAUGCAUAUAUGAGAUAAGGCCGAAUGGCCAAUGAGAUGAAUGUGAAAGUGUAUAUAUGUGAUAAGGCCGAAUGGCCAAUGUGAUGGAUGUGGAAGUGUAUAAAUGUGAUAAGUCCCGAAGGGCAAUUGUGUCAGUACUAUAUCCGGGUUAAAACCCCGCAGGCUUUAUGCGAGAAUAUUAUCCUGAUUAAUUUCCGUAGGCUUCGUGCUCGUACUAUAUCCGAGCUUUAAAGACCCGACGGCUAAAUGCUAGGAUUCAAGUAAGACUUUGAUAUUGAGUAUCUGCAUUAAGUUACCAUCAAAUAAGUAUUAUGUAUUCACGAUGUUCAGGUACGUAUUACUUACUCAUCGGUGGUGUGAUUUCGAGGUGAAUUAUCAGUAUCAAAGAGGUAGGUAAAUGUGAUUAAUAUUAUAACUCCAAAUGUGAGAAUGAUCUAAUUGGUAAUGGUAUGUUUGUAUAAUAAAGUAUGCGAUGAAAUAUUCUUAUGUAUUAGUGCAUAUUCUGCCCAAAAGCCUUAUGAUCUGAGUAUGGGUUGGGUUGAGCUAGAUGUGCCAGUACAAGGUAAGGAUUAUGAUUUGUAAGCUUACGUAUAUGUGAUAAGGAAUAUGUUUGGUUCUUUAUGUGCCUAUGGUAAUUUAGUACUUGUCAUGUUGAAAUACUUAAAAGUAUGGAUGUGAUUAUGAACAAGUGGAAAGGAUUAUUGAAAGUUGAAAAUCGAUGAAGAAUGUGCUUUGGAAAUAUUUGACCAUCUAGGUCAUUAUUAUUCGAAAGUAUAUAUGUGGCAGCCAAGUGUUGCGUUUAAUGAUAUUAUAGAUUGAGAUGAAGCUCUAGAUUAACUUCAUCGAACAGUUGAAAUGAAUGACCAAUGAUAGUGAUUGAGAACACUUUGUUUUGCUUAAAACUUACUAAGCAUUAAAUGCUUACUCCGUUCCUUGAAUCUCUGUUUUAUAGAUUUUGGUUCGUCAGCUAUCGGACUUGGGAUUAUUGAAGUCGAAGUCGCCCACACUAUCAAAGCCCUUUUGGUACACUUUUGGUUAAACUCUGAAAAUGGCAUGUAUAGGACUACCCUUUUUGUUGUUGGUCAUGUAUUCUUCGGUUUUGUGUAAAUUUGGAUAGCCAUGCGAAAAUGGCUUAAAUAUACUUUGAUCAUAGCAUUAAAAUCGUUUUGUAUGUUGUUUGUCGAGAGGUAUGGAAAUGUUGGUAACGGUUAGCCAUGGGAAUGGUCAUUCAUGAUCACUUUUGGUAUAUGUAUGACAAACUCUAGUUGAUCCAUGGAGGAUCAUGAAAUAGGUAAAGUUUACCUUAAAAAUAGAUGCUGAUAGCAGCAGUGAUGUGAAUGUGAAAAAUCACUAAAAAUAUUAGGAAUGGAAUUAAAUAGUGAAUAAAUUAUGUAAUCGAUCCUUUAUGACUCUAUUUUCAUAGGAAAGUAACGAAACGACCAUAUGAACAGUAUGUUAAGAGAUAUUUAAGUUUUUGUGAGACAGGGCCAGAACAGUUUCUGGAUUCCCUGUUCCGACUUUGGAAAUUCAUUAUAAAUUAACCAGAGAUAAUUAUAAGUCAUGCCAUAUAUGUACAGAUUCCUUUUCGAGUCUAGUUUCUAUAGAAACAAACGGCAUCAGUAUUGAAGCCCUGUACAGGGAGAUAUCCAAGUCGUAAUGCGCAAAGGUCAGUGUAGUCGAUCCCUGUAACAGGGGAGACUUUGACUAAUAAACUGUACUAAUUGGCCCGACCAAAAAUUCUAGAAAAAAAAUUGUAGAUGCAUAUAUGAGUCUAGUUUCACUGAAAAAUCACGAAACUGAUUUUCGAGUUGUGAAACUCAAGAUAUGAUUUUUAAGGUGACAGUGACGCAGUUAGCCAGCUUCCCUGGAAAAUUUUAAAAUGGAUUGUGCAAAGAAAUGAUUUAAGUCUGCAAACCCUCGUGUCCGACUCCGGCGACGGACUCGGGUAUGGGGUGUUACACUGAGAGAAUCAUAUCAGACAAUGCAUUGAACUUGAACAACAGAAUGAUAGCAGAAGUUUGUAGUCAGUUCAAAAAUGAAGCAUCAUAACUCUUCUCCGUAUCGUCCAAAAAUGAAUGGGGCAGUAGAAGCAGCCAACAAGAACAUCAAGAGGAUAGUAGGGAAGAUGACUGAGACUUAUAGAGAUUGGCAUGAGAAACUACCAUUUGCACUCUUGGCUUAUCGAACGUCCGUCAGGACUUCUACAGGGGCAACUCCUUUCUCAUUGGUUUAUGGGAUGAAAGUAGUGUUACCCAUUGAAGUAGAGAUACUGUCUCUCCGAGUCUUGUCAGAAAUAAAGUUAGACGAAGCUGAAUGGAUACAACCGCAAUAUGAUCAAUUGAACUUGAUUAAGGAAAAGAGGCUAAGGGUCAUUCGUCAUGGUCAGAUGUAUCAGAAGUGAAUGAUGCAGGCUUACGACAAGAAAGUGCGACCAAGAGAAUUCCAUGAGGGGGAUCUUGUGUUGAAAAAGAUCUUUCCCAUUCAGAAGGACUUUAGAGGAAAAUAGAUACCGAAUUGGGAAGAGCCAUAUGUCGUGAAAAAGGCUUUCUCUGGGGGUGCAUUGAUCUUAGCGGAAAUGGAUGGGAAGAGUUUGCCCAAUCCAGUGAAUUCAGACUCAGUCAAAAAGUACUUUGUUUAAAGGAGAGAAGAAUUCAGGGUGAAAACCUACAAAGGGCACCUUGAGUUUUCAAAAAAAAAAAAUGGAGAGGCCAAGGUGAAAACCCGCAAAGGGCGCCUUGUGACCAAAAGGGGUUUUGAGUUGAAAACCCGAAGGGGCAGCUCAAAUUUUAUAGAGCACACGGUGAUCUUGCUAUAUCUGAUUCAACGAAGAGUGAAGCGCAUUACAUAUCGAGGUAUCAACAAAGUACUUUGGAUCUUUUAAACACAUGUUGAAUUCAAGAAAGACUUCAUGGAGCUGGUGUAUAGACGUUCAAGCGGCGAUAUCUAGGGCAUCUAACUUUUGUCCUGUUUGCUAUCUUCAGAUUCUAUUUCUUCUCAAAGAUAGGCUUUCAAAUUAAUUUCCCUUGUAUUUUUGACAAAUUCAUUCAAAUCUAAUUAUUCUCAAGAUUAAUUCAUCUUCCAUUAUUCUUAAAGUAUGUUGCAUUGAAAUAGUGAUAGAUGAACUAAAUAAUUUUCACAAUUGAAGUUUUGCGCAUUACUCUGGAAUUUUUUUAGAUGAUAGAAGAAACUAAAACAGGACAAUUGAUUGAGAAAUUCACGUAAGAGAGGGUUGAAAGAACUUGAGGAAUUUCUUUCUUCUAGUCUGAAAUGAUGAUUGGACAAAUCAAACGAUUCGAUUCUAAGAAAAGAUCAUCUUACAGAUAUUCUCAGUUGGGCGUAGCAUUUGAAGAAUGAUACAAGCCUACAGGCUGAGCAGGAAUAAUACUUUGAGAAAAGAUAAACAAAGGAAUGAGUGGUGACGUCUGGAAUAGAAGUCAUAUUCAUAACAUUUUGCAUCACAACAUGUCUAAUUAGGAGCAUUUGACUCACUUCGAUUAUAGCAUCCUAAUCAUCAGGCAUGAGCACAUAUGCAUUCUACAUGUUAUGUAGAUCAAAGAUGAUGCGCCUUAACCCCAUAAGCAGUAGGAUAACACACCAAAGCAUAGAAGAUCUGGCCUUCACGUGUUUACACUGAAGUAGAUCCAAGAUAACAAGAUUUGGCUUCUCUAUCUUCGACGACGAGCAAAUUGAAGACAUAGCAGAUCUGACUUUCAGAUGUUUUCACAUCAAAGCAGAUCCAAGAUAACAGAUCUGGCGUCUUCAUAUUCGACGAAGAGCAGACACAUAGCAGAUAUAACCUUUAGAUGUUUAUACUGAAACAGAUCCAAGAUGAUUUGGCAUUCUUGUGUUUACAAGAAACAAAUCGAAGACAUAGCAGAUUUGACUUUCGUAUGUUCUCACACCAAAGCAGGUCCAAGAUAACAGAUUUGGGAUCUCCAUUUCGACGGAGAGCAGAUACAUAGCAGAUCUAACCUUCAGAUGACUUUACUGAAGCAAAUCCAAAAUGAUUUGGCAUCCUUGUGUUCACAAGGAGCAAAUCGGAGACACAUAGUAGAUCUAACCUUCAGAUGUUUAUACUGAAGCAGAUCCAAGAUGAUUUGGCAUCCUUGUGUUUACAAGAAGCAAAUUGAAGGCAUAGCAGGUCUAACCUUCAGAUGUUUAUACUGAAGCAGAUCCAAGAUGAUUCAACAUUCUUGUGCUUACAAGGAACAAAUCGAAGAUAUAGCAGAUUUGACUUUCGGAUGUUCUCACACCAAAGCAGAUCCAAGAUAACAGAUCUAGCAUCUCCAUUUCGACGGAGGGCUGAUACAUAGCAGAUCUAACUUUCAGAUGAUUUUACUGAAGUAGAUCUAAGAUGAUUUGGCAUCCUUGUGUUCACAAGGAGCAAAUCGAAGACACAGUAGAUUUGGCUUUCACGUGUUUACGCUGAAGUAGAUCUAAGAUGAUUUGGCAUCUCUGUAUUGUCAGAAAACAAAUCGAAGAAGCAAAUUUGGCGUCUUUGUGUUCGACGGAGAGCAGAUCGAAGAUAUCAACAUGACAGUCUUGAGUUUGCAAUGAGCAGAUUGAGGACCAUGAUCCGAUAAGGCUGGGCAAAUUUGGUCUUUUUAUGAGUCUUUGCUCGAUUCCUGUUACACAGCAAUGAGCAAAGAGGGGUAGCUGUAAUAGCCCAUAUUUGACCGGGCUUUAAAAGGGCAAAACAGAUAAAUGGAUCAAUAAAUAUUUAUUUAACAGUCCAGGUUACAAAGCCUAAACCCAAUAAACCUAUCAACUAAACUACCCUAUACCCGUUACACCUUUAACCCAAAGCAGAGAGGCCUGGGUGGCCCAAAUGGUUAGCAAAACAUGAGAGACCUAGGGUUUCAGAAACCCUAGGUGCCGCAAUCAUGUGUCUGUUCGUCUCGCAGUGACCCGAAUCAACAUUGCCACCAUCGUCAAGCCUUCAUCACCGCCGGAUUUUUCGUCGUCACCUGCAAAAAAAAAUGAAAGGACGACAGCAGAAAAUAGGAGCAAAAUAUGGAAAGAAAUCAAAGAUUUCUUUCUAAGAUUGUAAAUCAUUUACAAAGGGCUAUAAAAGCUUUUCUUUUUAAUCUGUAAAGGGGAGUUUUUUAGGGGGGCUCAAAAAUUGCAUAUACCAGAGACAAACAGUGUAAAAUAGACACGGGUAUUACACAUAUACAAGGAAUAAAAAUCAGAUCUAAGGUGAUUUUCAGAGAUUACUUUUCGUUCCCUUUUCUAUUUUUCAUUUUUUUAUUUCAAAGAUUUGAAUCGUUUUGAGGCAAAAGCACUUUUAAAAUAGAAAGAAAAGGGGAUAUGACUGUCGGAUUGGGCUUUGGGAAGCUUUAAGGAGCGUAAAACUCACUUUUGGGAACUCCGACCACCGUGAAUGGUGGCGGAGAUGGCUGAGGACGGCGAGGCCCGAUGAUCAGAGUUCGAUCGAAGCUUUGAGGGCAGGCAGGCUUUUGAGAGCAUUUUUUUGAGUUUUUUUUUAGGAAGAGGUGAAAAUGAAAGUUUAUGGAAAGAAAAUUGGUUUUUAAAGCACCCCUAUACGGCGCCGUUUCGUAGUGUGCAGAAGGUCCCCAAAACGGCGUCGUUUUGGGGCCAACCCGAUUACCUGACCCGAUCCAUUUAGAGAUCCGCGUGUUUUUUUCGACUAAAGGGAUAUUUAUCCCUUUAGUCCUUCUCCAUUUUCAGUUUUUUAAUUAAAUUUAUUUCAUUUUUUUAAAUUAGCCUUAUAAUUUUAUUUAAAUUUAAUUUUAGCCCUUUCUUUAUUAUUUUAAAAUUUUUUAUUUUUAUAUAUAUAUAAUUUAUUUAUUUUAAAAAACUAUACAUAUAUUAUUAUUAAAAAUACUAUUUAUAUAUUUAUAUAAAAAAAUUUAUUUAUCAUAUAUUAUUUUCCUAUAUUUUAUAUUAUAUUUUAUUAUAUAACAUUUAUUAUAUUUUUUAUUUUUAUUAUAUAUUACUUAUUAUAUUUUUUUAUUAUAUAUUAUGUAUAUCGUAUAUUAUCUAUUAUAUUAUUUAUGUUUUAUAUUGUUCAUUAUAUUAUUUAUAAUUUUAAAAUUUGUAAAUUAUUAUUAUUAAAUUAUAUUUUUAACUCAUAUUAUAUACAUAUUUCAUUAUUAUUUAUUUAUUUAUUUAUUUAUUAUGUGUUAUUUCAUUUUAAACUGAUAUUUUUAUAUAUUAUAUAAUUAUUUUAUUAUAAAUAUAAAUUCUUUUACAUACUUUUUAUUUUAUAUAUAAUUUUUUAAACCAAUAUAUUUUUUAUUUUAUAUAUAAUUAUUAUUCUUUUAUAAUUUUUUGUUAUUAUAUAUUAUAUAUUGUAUAUUAGAUACUAUUUUAAAAUUAUUAUUAAAUAUCAUAUUUUUAUUUGUAUUAUAUUUAUAUUUUGUUAACAAUUACUCACUUUAUUUUAUAUUUUUAUAUAUACUAAUUCUUUUAUAUAUUUUUAUAUUGUAUAUAUCAUUUAUGUAUUAAAUGUUAUUUUAUAAUUAUUAUUUGAUGUUGUAUUUUAUGAACAUGUACAUUGAUAUUAUAUUACUAUUUUUUUUGUUUAUAUAUUAAAUUGUAUAUCAUGCAUCAUUUUUUAAUUAUUACUUUGUAUGUUUGUAUGUUUUGCUUAUUCAUCUUCAAUAUAUGCUAUGUAUAUCUUUGUACGUAUGUUGUUAAGAUUUGCUAUAUUUAUUAUUUUUUAAAUAUGUAUGUAUCUACGUAUGAUCUUUAUAUUAUUACUAUCAUAUUGUUUAAAUGCAUGUUUUAUUUACCUGUUACAAUAAUAUGUUAUCAUGCAUGAUUUAUAAUGUAAUAUGAUUCCUCAUGCAUCAAUUUAAAAACGAGAUUCCAAGUUUUCAAAAAAAUAAAAAGGCAAUGUUUGGUAUUUGGAAGCUUCGAGAAAAGUAGUGCCCUAACUUACUGGGUUGCAACUUUUCUCAUUGAUUUCGAUAGUCUAGCACCCUUCUAAGUAUUUUUGAAAUUUUCAAAAUACAAACAACUAUUUUGGAAUUUCAAAACAUGGUGUCCUAACUUACUGGAUAUGAUGUUUUGUAGUUUCGAAAUAGAAAUUUUCAAAAGACAAGCUUAGCUUCAAAAGUUUUAAAAUAUUGCUUCCUAACUUACUGGAUGUGAUAUUUUGACUCGUUUGAAAUAAGCGAACCUAAAUUUUUCAAAUCAAAACAUUCUAAAUAAAAGAGGCUUGUAUCUUAAAACUUUCAAAAUUCCGACAUUAAAGACACUUGAUAAUCAAUUAGGUACUAAUUUUUAGGCGUUACGAGGGUGCUAAUCCUUCCUCGUUCGUAGCCGACUCCCGAAACCAUUUUCUUGAUUUCGUAGAGCAAAACUAAUGAUUUUAAACAAAAUGAUUUAUUGGUGAUCCAAUCACACCUAAAAGAUUGAUGGCGACUCCCGUUUUCGUUUUUCUUAAAGUCGAUUCCCAUUUUCCAAAACUCGAUUUAAAAAUGGUUUCGACAGAAAUGUUUUAGUUAGUAACAUAUUUAAAGUACCAAAAAAAAGGGAAAAAAUUCGGUGACUAGUGGUGGUCGAUUGCGUUCGAUGGUGGAACUUGUGGUGGUGGGACGGUUCGGGUUCAAAUGGAGGUUUUAUAGUGGGGGAACAUUAGGGGUGAGGGAAAAUUUUUUUUAAAAAAAACAAAGGAAAAACAGAAACCUGAGAGCACUGUGACCCGUGCCUAUUAGGUCACGUCGGUGCUAGCAUGAAGCCAGCCACCAAAGGAUCGGGGCCCCCUUGGCAGGGCUAACACUGACCAUUAGAAGCAUGACCUGACAUAGCAGCAUGCGUGUGCUUGACACCGCCCAUCGCAUGGCCAGCUUGGGCCUGACACAACAGGCCUGAUACAAUUGGCCUGACACCAGCCAUCCCUUCCCCUUUUUUUUUUAGUUUUUUUAUUUCAAUUAAUUAUCUAUACUUUAAUCUAUACAGUAAUUAGUUUUAAUCUUUCGAUUGAUUUUUAAUUAAAAUUAAUUAAUUUAAUUAAUUUUUGAUUUGAACUUUAAUUAUUAAGUUAAACUUUAUGUAUUUAAUUUUAUUUUUUAAUGGAAAUUAUCCAUACUUUAAUAGGUUUUAAUCUUUUCAAUUGAAAUGUAUUAAAUUAUUUUUUAUUGAAUCUUUAAAUUGAUUUUUUAAUUAAAAUUAAGAAAUUCAAUUAAUUUUUUAUUUAAACUUUAAUUAUUAAGUUAAACUUUAUGCAUUUAAUUUUUAUUUUUUAAUUUAAACUAUCUAUACUUUAAUUGGUUUUAAUAUUUUCAAUUGAAAUGUACUAAGUUAUUUUUUAUUUAUUCUUUAAAUUUAUUUUUAAUUAAAAUUAAGAAAUUUAAUUCAUUUUUAAUUUAAACUUUAAUUAUUAAGUUAAACUUUAUUUAUUUAUUUAUUUAUUUUUUACUUGAAAUUAUCUCUACUUUAAUAGGUUCUAAUCUUUUCAAUUGAAAUUUAUUAAUUUUUUUUAAUCUUUAAAUUGAUUUUUUACUUAAAAUUAAGAUUUUUAAUUAAUUUUCAAUUUAAUUAUUAAGUUAAAUUUUACGUAUUUAAUUUUUAUUUUUUACUUGAAAUUAUCUAUACUUUAAUUUCUACAUUAUUUUGUUAUAAUCUAUUCAAUUAAAAUGUAUUAAAUUAUUUUUUAUUUAAUCUCAAAAUUGAUUUUUUAAUUAAAAUUAAGAAAUCAUGGGGCACUAUCUUUAAUUUAUACAUUAAUUGAAUCAUGGGAAAUUAAGAAAUCACUCGUCAUCUUCCAAUUUGGUAUUACGAGAAGAUUGGUCGGGAAUAUAGACACGAUGUGGGCAAGUGGAUCAGUUGCGGCCUGAUGUUCGGCAUACCAUACACUGUUUAGGUUUGCUUGUCUCCCUGAGAUCCAUGUCAUUUUGAAUCCUCAUUGAUUGUGGUUGACCUUUAGGAUAUCUAUAGAGACUGUGGUUCGGCAACAUCUCAAAAGCAAGUGGCAGAGCUUCCCAGUUAGAGACAUCUGGCAUUACUGGAAAUUUAUUGCCUUAGAUAUGCAAUGUGCGUUGUAGUGUGUAAACCUCGUCUAUGAAUUGUUUGACGUCUAGAUUUGCACGCGCACACGCUGCAUGAACAUGCGCAUACGAAUGUCGAAGAGUCUAGAAUAAUCAGCACUCACAACGCCUAUUUCACAUAUCAACUGAAUACGACUUAGGCAGAAGACUCGAGCGACGGCUGACGUGCUCUUGAACCCGGAAAGUCUCCAAGUCAUGUGAAUACAGUUCUGCGUUCAUCCUCCACGCCUUAUUCGCGUUGACUUUCAUUGCCUUUCGGACGCCCUCAAUGUACACGUGCCGGGCCUCUAUCUGCUUUACUUAUCUCAGCUCCAUCCUUGGCAUUAACGUGGCCAAUUUAUACAAUGUUACCAAGAAAACAACAAAAAUUGACAAAUGACGUAUAUGCCUCAAGACCGAGUUAACAGCCUCUACAAGGUUGGUCAUCAUCUAACCAUACCGGAACCCAUCAUCGUAACUUUGACUCCAUUGUCAGUUCUCUAUACUGCCCAACCAUUGGCGAAGAGGACGAUUUUUGGGUAAUGCUGACAUCUAAGCUUCAAGCCUUACGAACCUUUGCCCAAAUCUUUGCGGUUCUAACUCGUACCCUAUGUAUGCAAUUUCGAACAAAUAUUUUAAAAAAAUUACACCGUUAUAAAUUUAGAAAAAAUAAAUUUAAAAAUACAAAUUGAUAAAUCUUGAAAAAAAUACCAACAUAUUCAAAAAAUAAAAUAUGAUCAGAUCAAUUUUGGAACAAUAUUUUUUACACAUUCUUACAAUUUCUCUGCACUAUUCUUUAUUUUUUUACUCCUUAUGGAAGUUUGACACGAUGUGUCGAAUGCGAUAAGCGGACCUCCACGGAACCCCUGAAUGCCUUACUGUAGCAAGUAGUCCAUUCGAUCUAUCCGAGAUUAGGUAAAUGUUGUCCUGCUUGACAUCGUGCCUCUGCAUGUUUGACAAGAAAAAUUCCUAAGACUCGAAGUUCUUACUUUCCACAAUGGCAAAAGCGAUAUGAAGUACAUUCCGGUUGCCGUCUUGUGUAACUGCAAUCAGGAGUAUUUGCAUGUAUCUGUCGUAAAGCCAAGUUCCGUCCACCUGCACCAUCAGCUUGUAGUGAGGGAAGGCCCUAACACAUGGCUCGAACGUACAAAAAAAUCGAUGGAAAACUAGUUUUCCCGGUACUAUCUUGUCGUUCGGGCCUCUAUGCAGCAGUGUUUGCAAAUCAAUCACUGUUCCCGGCACAAGCUCCGCAUUGCGACUACCCACUCUUGAAGUUCAUUUUGUGAUGCAUCAAAGUCACCAUACAACUAUUGCAUAACCAAUUGUUUUACCCACCAUGCCUUCUUGUAGGAAACCUUGUACUUGAAUCGAGCUUGCAUGCCCGCAAUAAGCGUAGAUUUAGGGAUGGUGGCCGAUUCAUUCACCAACAGGAUGAUGUAGUUGCAUAUGGUUUUUGCAUCUAACUUUCGAUGGUCUUGCGACAUACGAGCAACCGAGCAUGUGUGAGGACCUUUUAUUUUUCCGAUUGUCUACAUCUGUGUCCAUUGUAUUAAUGUAGCUUGAACUCGUCACUUACAGCCACUUGGGGAUUUCCAGCAUUCUCCAACAUAUAAAGAUUACGUUGACUUCUUGACUUUGUAGUUGACAGACAGUUUCAAGUUGUACUGCUUUAUUACAUGUAAGCAGUCGUUCUUGUUACCGAAUUGUUGUCCUAUGAAUAAUUCUUCAUCUUCCGAUUCUUCAUCCAAUAGGUGAGCCGGCAUUAUAUCUGGAUAUUCUUAGAACUUGUGCGCAAGCGCAUCAGGAUCUAUAUCAGUUAUUAAGGCCCCUGGAUUAUUAAGGAUAACUAUAUCGGAUCUCGUGUUCAUGCUUGAAUGGAAAUGUAUAUCUUCACCCUCCAUGGGGUAUUUAUCGUCUAUAUCUUCAGGGAUGUCCUCCAAAUCUGGGUCACUCAAAUCUUCACUAUCAGACCCUUCAUUAUCAGACUUUUCAUCACCAUCUUCUAUGGUGGUCGAUACCUCCGAAAGAAUCUCUAGACGAUGACACAAGAUUUGGAUGUUAUACAAACAUCCAUUGUAGUUUGGAUUUUUGGGAGUUUGCAAUGACCCUCUACAAUCUGACUGAUCUUCCUAAUAGACAUUAAGAUCAAAAUUAAUUCCAGAAUGUUGACUUACUGGAAUUACAACUUGAACAGGUUUCGGUUCAACUAUCUCUACAAACAACUCAACCAGGCUGGGAUUAUCCAUAUCAGGGGGCAAUAAAUUGUUAUCAUUGUCCUAAGAUCAUCAUCAUCUUCUUCAAACUCCAUUUCUGAGAGCUUAAGCGGAUCUAUUGAAAUUAAAAAUUUGUAAAAUAGUCCCAACAUUUGCUUCCCGCAACGGGUAGCUAUCUUUAUAUUGAUCUUCUGUUUUAAAUUCGCCAGCAAAACACGCUUGUUGAAUCUCAUUCAGAUUUUCUACCAACUUUGAAAGACACAACCUUCUAUAACUGUAUUUAUCAUUUCACCAUCAAAAUGAACAUAAACAAACAUAAUUUGGGAACUCAUCUUCAACAAUUUCUACUUCAUCCUCAACAAACAAAACUGAUAUUAUUAGUAUUGAUUUUCAACUGAUAAAGCAAACAAAAAGCUCAAAUAGAGGACAAAACAACUCUAUAUGUUAAAGGCGUGCCAGCCAUCAGUGUCCCAGCACCCCAAUUGUUUUUUUCAAAUUUAGUAAAAGGGUGUCGGCCAUCAGUGUCUCAGCACCCAAAAUUUUUUUUCAGUUCCUGAAAUAGCUGAUGUCAGCCAUCUAGUUCCCUCACCCAAUUUUUUUAUCUAAUAAAGUGGGUGUCGACAAUUAUUUUGCCAGCACAAAAAAAUAUUUUUCAAUAUGAAAAAGGUGAUUCCGAUCGUCUAAUACCCCUAACCCAAAAAUUUUUUAUCUAACAAAGUGGGUGCCGGUCAUCAAUAUGUCAGUACUCAAAAAAAUUAUUUUUUUACUAUUAUAAAGUGAUGUCGGCCACUUAUCCCCCAACUAUUUUUUUUUCAAAUACUAGUAUAAAUAUAUACCAGUGUGCUACUGUAUGAAAAAGAAUACUCAGGUGUUGACCAUUAAGUCUUCCAACCCCAAAAAAUAAUUUUUUUUUUAGCUUGGCACAAUCAUCAGCCAAUGAUUGAGUUAAAAAUCAUGGUGGUGCCGGCCAUUAAGUCCCCCAACCUUAUUUUACUGUUCAUUUUCAGAUCACUUGAGUAAUUAUUUUUAAACUUGAGUUAUUUUUAUAAUAAUUUUUUUUAGAUCAUUUUAGUAAAAUAACCCAAUUUUAGGCUCACUGUGAAAUCUUAUUCUAUUUUGAUAAAAAAAAGUAUUAUUUUUAAUAUUUAUUUAUAUAUAUAAAGUUGUAUUAUUGGGAUAAAAAAACAUUUUUUUUUCUUUUUGCACCGAAGAUGCAUUACUAUCCAAAGGUAGCCCCAGUGGCAGUUGGUAGCUUGUGGUCAACGCAUUGUCAAAACGUGUGGUUUAUAACAUACCGUUUUGAGAUCGAAAUUUCGAGAUUGCAAACCAGUUAAAAGAAAAAAAAAGGUACCAGCAGGCGGAGAGAAAGAACGGGUAACGAUGUAACGCUUUAAACGAUGUCGUAUCUGCUACCACACUUGCAUUCAGGGUAGGCUGUAGAUCAAGCGAUCUUGGCAGAGGAAGAGCGUCUCGUCGUCAUCUGAUUCGGUCACGAUUGGGAUGAAACAUGUAUGCAGGUACCUCCACUUGUUCUUCUUCUAUCUCCCUUCACUCUCUUUUUUUUCUUCCUUUUGUAACUUUUCUCUUUUUAUUGGAACUUUCCUUUACCGUCUGGGGAGAUUUUCCCACUCCAAUGGCGUUAGUUAUUUCAGUUUUAUCAGCAGGUUUGGGAAUAAUAUCAAAUGAACCCUAUAUUCGCCGUCCUUUGUAAAUUUGAAAAUUAUCGUCAAUUUUGGCAUCGAUGGUGAAUUCGAUGAUAAUUGCCUCCUUCGAAAGACUUUUGUUAAAAAAAAUGUUGAAAUUGGCAUAGAUGGUUGUAACGGGCCUAUUUUUCCCGGGGCUAAACCAAUAACCCAAAAACAAAAAUAAAACCAAAUAAGUUAAGAGUCUGAGUCCAAUUACAAAAAGAGCCCGAAUGUAAAACAUACUAGACCCAAAUUUACAAUCCAAAUAUAAAACCCAAAAUUUUAUAGGCCCAAAGCUAAAACAACCUAGCCCAAGAAUAGCCCAAAACCUAAAAUCAUUCAGCCAAAAAAAACCUAGGCGCCGUUCCCCCCUUUGCGUGCCUCAAGUGCAUCGUACCCCUCCAUGUGCGCCCUCGGCGCACACAUCGCCAGAUGGCUGCUCCUUUGCACCAAAAUGGCAUGUUUUCACGCUCGUUGACCCUCUUAGCCCUGCAAAACAAUCCAAAAACGAGCAAGAACACAGCAAAAGGAAACACGCAAAGACAAACAGUAGAGAACAGAGGCUUAAACAAAAAUAAAAAAAGUAGAUUGUAUUUUGGCUAUAAAGCCAAGAACGAACAUAUUGUAUUCUUUUUACAGACCAUUAAGCAAUCAAAACACAAAAUGUUGAAUCUCAUCUUUUCUUCCCUAUUUUUCUGUUUUCAUUUUUAUUUUUGUUCUUUUGUUUUCAAAUUGGUUUAAACAAAACCAAAAAGAAUAGAGAAAAAUAGACUUACCCCAACUCCGAAGUCGCAUCAUCAGAGCUCCUGCUCUAUCGGUGAAACCGACUAAAAAGGGUGUCUUUUCUCUCGGAUUCACGGGCUAAGGGAAUAGGGCCUUCGGGUGCUCCAAAAUCGGAGUCAAAAGACCCCUUUUGUGCAACCCCGAUCACCACCUACAGUGGCUUCAUGGCAGCGGCGAUGAUGGGUGCAUAAACCCUAGCAGAGCACAAACAGGGGGCUGCUCUUUGUUUCUGAGAAGAGAAAGAAAAAAUGAAAAGUUUUUUUAAAAAAAUUUGGCUUUAACAGGCAUGCAAAGCGGUGACAUUUGCAAUCCCCCCACACGCCUCAAAACGGCGUCGUUUAGGGGGGAACCCGUGCGACCCGACCCGUUUAGCAGAUGAUCCGCGUGUUUUAAAGCCAAAUGGGCUAUUUGCGCUGUGGGUCCUCCUGCUUUGUCAUUUGUUUACGAUUCGAUCCUUUUGCUCUUUCUUUUGGGUUUUUAAUUUGACCCCAUAACUUUGUUGAGUUUUUCAAUCGGAUCCUCCGACCCAUUGGCACACUGCGAGCGAACACGUGUCCAGAGGCUAGAUAUUUUACCCAUUUACUCCUCAAACCUUGCGCAUAUUUUCAUUUUUACCCCGUUCUUUUAUUUUGUUAUAGUUUUCACUUCUAAUUUCAUUUUUUAUUCCAAUAUAACCCCUAAUCACUUUGAUUUUGAUCCUUUUUUAUUUUUCUUUAUUUAUUCAUGUUUUAUACAUUAUUUAUUUUAAAGGAUAUCGUAUUUCAUUUGUUAAAUAUUUUUAAAACUAUUCUAUUAUUUAUUCUAAAUCAUUUUGUUGUUACUUUUUUUUACCUAUUAUGUAUUGCAAACUAUUGACCAUUUUAUACUUUAUAUAUAUUAUUUAUUUUAAAAUAUUAUACACAUUAUUCAUUUUGAUUUAUAUAUAUAUCUUCUAUUUUAAACCAUUUUAUAUAGAUAUUAUCUAUUUUUAAAUUUUCUACAUUUUAUUUGAUUAUACUGUUGUAUAUGUUAAUAGUUUUAAAUCCCUUUUAUUAUCAUUUAUUUUAAAUUUUUUAUAUAUAUUAUUUGUUUAAAAAUAUUUUUUUACAUACUCUUUAUUCUAAACUAUUUUAUACAUUAUCUAUUCAAAAUUUUCAUAUAGUAUUUAAAUUAAACUGUUUUAUACUUUAUUCAUUUUAAAAUUUUUAUAUUAUUUAUUUUAAGCUCUUUAUUAUUUAUUUUAAGUUUAUACAUUAUUCAUUUGAAACUAUUUUGUUAUAUUAUUUAUUUAUAGUUGUUUCAUUUAUUACUUUUUUUAAAACCAUUUUAUUUAUUUUAAAAUUUUUCAUAAAUGAUGUUGUUUCAUUUUUAUUAUUAUGAAUAUUGAUAUUAAAAAUAUUAUACAUCGUGUGAACAUUGCCAUUACAUGUCCUAGAAAUUAUUUGUUAACAUCUUCAUAUUAUUGUCAUUCACCAACAUUGUAUCUAAUUCGUGUUAUUAUUCCAUACUCUAUGUUAUAUUUUUGUUUUAUUUCAUUUAAAUCGUAUCAUGUUUGAAGUUCGAACGUAUUCAUCCAAUAUAGAUCGUUCCGUUUUAGUUCAAACAAAUAAUGCACAUCGUUAAAUGUCAUGCUCGUUAUUAUUCAAAAGAAAAAUUUUGAAAUAAGGCAAUGUUUCGCGUUUUGGAACAUCGAGGAAUUGUGCCCUAACUUACGGGGUUUCAGUUCUCUCGUCGAUUCUAAAUAGCCAAAUAUCCUUUUGAGUUUUAAAAUACAUGGAAUUCUAAUUAAAAUUAAAGAUAAACUUACGCUCGAGAAUCAUUGGUAUCGUGUCCUAAUUUACGGGAUGAGAUACUUCGAUAUCUCGAGACGAUGAAAUCUUUAGCAAUCGUUUUGGUCUAAUUCAAGCACGUUUAAACUCAACAUUAAUAAAAAAGGGAUCAUAUUUUAAAAUCCAUUCCCGAUUUUCAAUUUUCGACAUUAAAACACUAACUAAUCAAUUCAGUACCAAUUUUUGGGUGUGUCGAGGGUGCUAAUCCUUCCUCGCACGUAACCGACUCCCGAACUUGUUCUCUUGAAUUUCGUAGACCAAAAAUGCCGUUUUAGUAAACUAAAAUGUUUUAUUAAAACAAAGGUGAUCCGAUCACACCUAAUAAAGAUCGGUGGCGACUCCUAUUUUUUAUUUUCAUUUUCAAACAUAGUCAAUUCCUACUUCUCAAAAAAAUGGUUUCAACAGCUUGGCGACUUCGCUGGGGACUUGAGAGUCAAGUCAUAAAUUGAUUGAUCUUUUUCCUUUGCCGAAAUUUGAAAAUUCGUUUUAAACUUAUGAUCCCUUCACUGCAUUUCAACCGUUUUUCUUACGGUUUUCAUCAUUUUAUUCUAUUUUCUUUAUUGCGUCAAGUUUUUAUGCAUAUAUCCUCGCACAUUGCAUUGCAUGACCGUUGUGGUCACACCCUUUAAGUGGAAGUGAGAAACUACUCCUUCGUGAGGUCUUCACCUCCGUAUAGGAUAGUGGAUCGCUUUCGGGAUACAUCUGUACCUGCGUCUUCGUAAGAUUUUCAUCUCCGUAUAGCCGUAGGGUCCGUAUAGCCAUAAGGAAAUGUAUUCCCCUGAAUCGAACUUGGUCCAUAUGAGCCUAUAAUAGGUGAGGAUCGAGGAAUCUGCUGGUUCAGGUACCUUUACUUUAGAACCGAACCACUUGUAAUGAGCCCUAAGAGCCUACCCUAGGUGGAAACACACCAAACCUUAGUGGUUACCCGAUUAGGUGCUUGAUUAUUUCCUGUUUGCUUUGAGUUCUAUUCUUUGUUUUAAUACUGACUUGUUGUGUUUUGCUAUUAUUGCGUGGCAUCUCAUCAUAAAAAGGUGUUGAUUCACGUUCGGUUACUAGAUAGAAAAGCUUAGCAUGAAAAAAGGAUUUUUUGAUAGAGUGGAGGAUAAUGCGGCCGUUCGAGUGUGGUCCGAGAGAACGCAACAAGAGAAGGGAGAUAGUUUGACCGAGGGAUAUGAAUCGGAGUUGUGGGAUUUCACUCACAUCAGUGUGACUCAGAACGACCUGCAAGAAUUAAGGGAUAUAUGGAAUAGUUGGAAUAACGAGGUCAAGCAACUCUUUUACUGUAACUACGGUGACCUACCAUAUUUGCUCGAUGUAAAGGUGGACAAGUACUUAUUUCGAGCCCUCGCGCAGUUUUGGAAUCCCGCCUACAGUUGCUUCACCAUCGGAGGAGUUGAUUUAGUGCCUAUUGUAGAAGAAUACAUGGCGUUACAUAAUUGCCCGAAGAUUCAAGCCGAUAGGGCCUAUUCAAGACCUGUUAAUGUUUCAACUUUUUUGAAGAAAUUGAUGAAGAUCACGGGGAUGAGCGAACAAUGGGUUGCAGCUCGGAUCAAGCAGAAAGGGGAUAGUAAGUGUAUUCCUUGGAGAAAUUUGAGGGAUUUAAUCUUAGCACAUCUGUAUAUGAAAAAGAGGGUUGACGUUUUCGCCUUAAGCCUCUACGGUUUGAUCAUCAUUCUUAAGGCAUUAGGGAAUGUAGAUGAAGACGUCUCAGAUUUAUUCGAUCGCCUUGAUAAAGGAACCCCACCUGUCCCGGUAAUCCUAGCAGAAACUUUUAGAUCCUUGAAUGCAUGUCGGAGAACGGGCGAAAGAAGAUUUAUUGGUUGUGCAUAGCUUCAUUGGCUUGGUUCCAUAGCCAUUUUUGGAAGGUAGAAAAGGUUUCUUAUCGGGUUUUCUCUAAGGACUAUUCCCCAUUAAGAGAGUUAGUGGCUACAUCGAGGUGAGACGACAUCUCAGAAGGGAAAUGGAUAACCAUUCUCUAGAAUUUACGAGUCGAAGAUAUUGAAUGGAGGGCUCCAUGGUUGAUCCCCGACGAGAUCUUAUAUCAGUGCGGUGAUUUUGACUGGGUCCCUCUGGCAGGAAUAUGAGGAGCCGUUGGAUACGCUCCAUUACUAGUGUUACGGCAAUAUUGAUCAAGGCAGUUUAUACCGGUGACACAAGGGUUGGCACAAUGUGAGUUUUCCUAUAAAGAUAACAAUUAUAAGAAGAAGGUUUGUGAGAUAUCGGAUGCUUGAAACCAAACACGAAGAAUGAAAGGAUUCACUACGGGCCCGAUGGCGACCCCCGAGUAUGAUUGGUGGUGGGAUAUGAGAGUCAACGACAAUAUCCCUAUGCCGAAUCAAGGGAACACCCAACCGAUAGAGAAGCAUUUAUGAGUCAUCCCGUCUGAGUUAGAAAUCAUCAAGCAAGACUUCAAGAAAAGGAUCUCGGAAUUGGGAAAGAAGAUAGAGUAAUUAGAGGAAGAGAAGAUGAAGUUGGGCUUAGACGUUAAUAUCCACAAGCUAGAGGCCGAGAAGCUAAGGAAAGGGAAGAAUAAAGCUGAAGAUGACUUGGAUAGUCUGAAGACUGAUUAUAAGAAGCUGCGUACGUCAAUAAGAACUGCCGGUUUGGGUAAGACGUCGGAUCAGUGGCGUCAAGAAAUUGAAAAAGAAAAGGCUAGAGCUGGCCACUGGGAGAAGAAGUUCCAAGAUGUUUGAGUGCGGGAAGAUGUUUUGAAAAAGAGUUUGUCAGAAAGGUAAAGCGAAAAAGAGAAAUUACAAGCUCGGAUAGCUGAAUUGGAAAAGUCGCUACAUCUGCAUCGUAGCCAUAACUCCGUAAUUGAGUUGAAGACCAGCUUAAACAAAAUCGAAGAGUUGAAAGGAAAAAUAGAGGAACUCGAGAUGACACUAAAAGAUAGCAAAAGUCGAGUGGAAUUCCUUGAGGCAAACAAUGAACAUUGCAAAGAACAACUUCACUACUCUCAAGAUCAAAUCAGAAAUAGAGAUUAUGUUAUGGGCGAAGUUGUGGCUCAAGUUCGAGAAGUAGCCGAUCAUUUGCAAACCUUGAUAGUUCAGGCUGAUGUAUUAAGCCUAAAAUACGAGUCAGAACCAGAUCGAGGCCGAAACUUAGCUUGGCUUCUUAGAAAGGCUAAGGCUUUGGGCAUUAGGGCAAAGUCAUAUAUGUAAUCAUCUGUUCUAUGUAAAGAAAUUUUUCUUCUAGUAAAGUUCUUCUAAUGAAAUUGAAUUAGAAUCAACGUCCCUUUUUGCAUUCAUGCAUUUGCAUUACAUUACAUUAUAUGCAUUAAAGGCCAUGAAAAGAUUCUAAUUAAUUAAAAAUGUUUCAGUAAUCUAGAAACUGACGAAAAUCUCCCGAAUACACAUCCCUACGGUACAAGAAGGAAAACUGAAGCAAUGGAUAAAAAACUAGAGAGACUGGAGUAAAUGCAGAAAGAAAUACAGGAGUAGAUGCAAGUGCAAGUACAAGAACAGUUAGCAAAAAUCAGCAGGAAAUGAGGGACCAGAUGCCGGAAUCCCAAAAAAAUAUGAUGGAAGAGCCCCGACUAUUGACUAGUAGGCCAGACAAAGAAAAGGGCCCUAUGACCGAUAUGGGAAAUAACAAUGGAGAUUCACUUUACCCCCUGGUUUUACCCCGAAAAACGCUCAAACGUAGCAUAAGGCACACACGCAGAGGCCAUCCAUUACUGAAGAUCCGCUCUACCCCCUGGUUUCACCCCGAUGAAUGCUCAAACGCAACCCGAGCUACACAUGCGAAGACCGUCCGUUACGAUCAGGCCUCAACAAUUUUAGGCCGAUAUCUCGAUGCCAAUCAAUUAUCAAACAGGCUCAGGCUCUAAUCCCAGGGAUAACUCUAUUAAUCCCACAAUCCCUGAUCUGGAUAAUAUGGCAGAAGAAUAAAGAGUGAGAACGGGGCUCUCGAAAGAAUUGAAAGACCGAUGCAAGUGGUUGGAGGAAAAGUUCAGAAUGAUGGAAAGUACUGACUAUCAUUAUGGGAUCAACGCUAAAGACUUGAGCUUGGUCCCAGACCUAGUCUUCCCUCCUAAGUUCAAAAUCCCAGACUUUGAAAAAUACAAUGAAACUAGCUGUCCAGAGGCUCACAUCACCAUGUUUUUUCGAAGAAUGGUAGGGUAUGUUCAUAAUGAUCAAUUAUUAAUCCAUUGCUUUCAAGACAGUUUGGUCGGGUCUACGGCCAAAUGGUACAACCAACUAAGUCACGGGCAAAUCCAUUCAUAGAAAGACUUGGCACAAGCUUUCAUGAAGCAAUACGGCCACGUGACAGACAUAGCACCUGAUCGAAUCACGUUACAAAACAUGGAAAAGAAACAAAAUGAGAGCUUCAGGCAGUACACCUAAAGAUGGACAGAGGUGGCGACGCAAGUCCAACCACCUCUACUGGAGAAAGAAACGGCUAUGCUCUUUGUCAACACUCUGAAAACUUCAAUUAGCAACCACAUGUUGGGAAGCGCUACUAAGAGCUUCUCAAACAUAGUAAUGUCAGGAGAGAUGAUAGAGAAUGCGAUAAGAUGCGGAAAGAUCGAAACAGGGGAAAAUGCCAAGAAAUUAGCUCCGAGAAGGAAAGAAAAUGAAGUGAACAACGCGAGCAUAUACAAUAAGAGUUAUUCCAAGCUAGUCACUGUGAGCCAACCAAAGACAGUGACUACCAACCAUCAAGGCUCUGCAAGACAAUAUUCAAACUCGAGGUCUAACACGGAGAGAGUCCAGUUUACGCCUAUCCCAAUGUCAUACAGGGAGUUGUAUCAGAGUUUAUUCGAUGCCCAUGUGGUGUCGCCUUACUACUUGAAACCCCUGCAGCCUCCAUUCCCUAAAUGGUAUGACGCAAAUGCUCAAUGAGAAUACCAUACAGGAAUCUCGGGACAUACGAUUGAGAACUGCAUUGCCUUCAAAAAAGUAGUCGAAAGGCUCAUAGGCAUGGGCGUUGUGAAGUUUGAUGAGCCCGCAGGACCUAAUGUGGCGGGGAACCCACUACUUAGUCAUUCAGACAAAAGGGUGAACGCGAUAAUUGAAAAUGGAAAGAGAAGAACCAAGAUGGAUGUAUCAGAGGUAAAAACCCCAAUGAAAUGGGUUUGGAAGAAGAUGGUGGAAGGAGGUUUAAUCACACAAGAUUCAAAGGAAUGGCCUAGAGAAGCAAAAAGAUACUGCGAGUUUCAUGCUGAUGAAGGCCAUGACAUCCAAGAGUGCAAUAAAUUCAGGUCCAUAAUGCAAAGUUUGAUUGACAAUAAGGAGAUAGAAUUUUACGAAGAAAUCGAGGGAUCAGAAGAAAGAGAGGUUUAUGCCUCAGAGGAAGGAAUAACAGAAAGGGUCUAAAGAGUUAAUCAUCCUGUGGUGAUAAUUUCGCUACCAAAGAACAAUGAAGCAGGAGUACAAAUGGUGCUGAGAGUCAUAAUCCAGAAACCGGUAUCCUUCCCUUACAAGGAUAGUAAAAAGGUUCACUGGGAUUACGACUGUAACGUGACGAUCCUGGGUGGGGGAAAAUCAGCUAGUACUUCAAAAGAAAACCAAGAUAUAGGUUUCUAUACACGCAGUGGGAGACAUUGUGAUCUUGCCAAUACAAGAACUGAAAUUGUUAAGGAAAAGACCCCAAUAGACGAGCGAAGAAAGGAAAAGACAAUCAGACUUGAAUCACCAGUCCAUGAGCCGGUGACUGAAAAGAAGGCCAAGGAGUUUUUAAAGUUCUUAAAGCACAGCGAAUUUAGCGUUGUAGAAUAGCUACAUAAGCAGCCAGCUCGCAUUUCAGUGCUAGCCUUACUUCUAAGCUCAGAGACACAUCGGAGCGCGUUAAUGAAGGUAUUAAAUGAAACCUACGUCACGGAUGAUAUCUCUGUCAACAAGCUGGACCAUCUCGUCAACAAUAUUAGCACCGAUAAUUUCAUAUUAUUCAAUGACGAUGAAAUACCACCGGGGGAAAUGGGGUCAACAAAGGCGCUACACAUCACCACCCGCUGUAAAGGACAUACACUACCGGGAGUAUUGAUUGACAAUGGGUCUGCACUAAAUGUCCUACCCCUAUCCACGUUGAAUAGGUUGCCAGUGGACAGUUCCCACAUGAAGACAUGCCAAAAUGUAGUAAGGGCAUUUGAUGGCACUGAAAGGAAAGUAAUGGGGAGGAUUGAAAUACCCCUUUUAAUCGGUCCAAGCACAUACAAGAUAGAUUUCUUAGUAAUGGACAUUAAGCCAUCUUACAACUGCUUAUUAGGGAGGCCAUGGAUUCACUCAGUAGGGGCAGUACCGUCAUCACUGCAUCAAAAGCUCAAAUUGGUAACGGAAGGCCGAUUGGUGACCAUAAACGCAGAAGAAUAUAUUAUUGCAUCCGUUACCAGUGACGCACCAUAUGUGGGGACAGAUGAUGAAGCAAUAGAAUGCUCUUUCUGAUCAUUAGAAUUUGUAAACGCAACCUUUAUUGUCGAAGGGAACAAGGUCCUAGUGCCCAAAAUAUCCAAAACUACCAGGAUGAGCUUACAAAUGACAGUUGGGAAAGGAGCUUUGCCCGGAAAAGGACUUGAGAGAAGCCUACAAGAAAGGAUCGAGGCACCCAUGCUCAUGGAUAAAUGAGACCGUUUUGGCUUAGGGUACAAGCCAAAUGCAAGGCAGAAGAAGAAGGAGAUAGAGAAGAAACAAGAAAGGAGAAGAGCGCGUUUAAAUGGAGAAGAGGUCAAAUGGGAGUCAAUGACCUUUUCUCACAUAUCUAGAACACUCGUGUCAGGAGGGACUACUUACUCUGAAGAAAAAUUGACCAGGAAAGGGUCUGCCAAAGAAAUGUUGGAAAAUUUGAGCAUUAACGCCAUAUCCGAGGAAGAAACAAGAGACGAAGGUCAUGUAGGCAUUUGCCCAUGCGUGCCCGGGAGCAUUUUAAAACUAAUUCAGAGUAAUGUCUAAAACAAGCUAAUUGCUCUAAACUUAGGGGUAAUAAGAAUCCUUUUGUGAAAUAGGCUCUUAUCCAGUCUCGUUAUUUAAAUAAAAAUGCAUCUUUGCGUAUCAUCUUGAGCAAAUAUUCUUUUAUUCUUUUCAUUUCAUUCAUAAUCAUACCACCAAUAAAUAUUCUUAGAUUCUUUUGUUCUUUGGACUUUUCUUCAUCUCUAUAACAGGUCUCUAGAUAUCAAAGACAUGAGUAAUGCUGCUACUGACUCAGAGCCUCAUUUUGAGCAAGAUGUGUGUACGAAGGAUUCUUAGGAUUUUGAGGAUGACCGAAACUGUAACCUAUCUCUGGAUUUGUUAAGGAUGGUAGAACAAAAUGAGAAACAAAUCCUGCCUCACAAGGAGCCAGUGGAAAUCGUGAGCGUAGGAGAGGGAAAAGAGGUGAAGAUUGGAUUUCGUAUCGCUACAGAAAUAAGGCGAGACCUCAUUAAAUUACUAUAAGAAUUCAAGGAUGUCUUCGCAUGGUCAUAUCAAGACAUGCCCGGGUUGAAUACUAAUAUAGUGGUACAUCGGCUCCCCAUAAAGGAAGGAUGCAAGCCAGUGCAGCAAAAGCUCCGAAGGAUGAGACCUGAUGUUCUUUUGAAAAUAAAAGAAGAGGUCAAGAAACAAUUUGAUGCCGGCUUCUUACAAGUGGUUAAAUAUUCAAAAUGGGUAGCUAAUAUAGUCUCUGUCCCUAAGAAAGAUGAAAAGGUGCGAAUAUGUGUGGACUAUCGAGAUCUGAACAAAGCCAGCCCAAAAGAUAAUUUUUCGUUGCCUCAUAUUGAUAUAUUAGUGGAUAACACAACAGGUUACUUGCUUUUCUCCUUCAUGGAUGGUUUCUCGGGAUACAACCAGAUAAAGAUGCACCUCGGAGACAUGGAAAAAACCACAUUCGUGACCAUGUGGGGAAAGUUUUGUUAUAAGGUGAUACCAUUCGGACUGAAGAACACAGGAGCGACAUAUCAGAGAGCCAUAGUAACUCUGUUUCAUGAUAUGAUGCACAAGGAGAUCGAAGUUUACGUCGAUGAUAUGAUUGAAAAAUUCAAGAAAAAAAAAGAGCACAUACAAGUCUUGAAGAAAUUGUUCUUAAGGUUAAGAAAUUUUCAAUUAAAACUCAAUCCCACAAAAUGUACCUUCGGGGCCAGGUUAGGAAAGCUGUUAGGAUUCGUAGUCAGUGAAAAGGGGAUCGAAAUUGACCUAGAAAAAGUCAAAGCCAUAUAAGAACUACCUCCACCAUGCAUUCAAAAAGAAGUUCGAGGUUUCCUAGGAAGGCUAAAUUACAUCGCUUGGUUCAUUUCACAACUAACGGAGAAAUGUGACCCGAUAUUCCGCCUCCUUAGGAAACACAAUCCAGGUGUAUGGGAUGAGGAGUGCCAAAGAACUUUUGAUAAAGUCAAGCAUUACCUGUCUAAUGCCCCGGUGCUAAUGCCACUUUACCCAGAUAAACCACUGAUACUGUAUUUAGCAGUGUUCGAGAACUCCAUGGGGUGUGUGUUAGGCCAACAUGAUAAGUCAGGAAGAAAAGAAAAGGCGAUAUACUAUCUGAGCAAGAAGUUCACUAAAUACGAGACAAGAUAUUCGCCAAUCAAAAAAUUGUGUUGUGCUUUGAUCUGGACAACCCGAAGACUGAGGCAGUACAUGUUGUACCAUACAACGUGGCUCAUCUUAAAACUAGACCCUCUGAAGUACAUGAUGGAGUCAAAUGCUUUGAACGGAAGAAUGGCUUCUUGGCAAAUUCUGCUUUCUGAAUUUGACAUAGUCUACGUGAACCAGAAGGCUAUAAAAGAGAGUGCGAUAGCAGAUUUUUUGGCCAGUAGAGCUUUAGAAGAUUAUGAGCCUUUGAGUUUUGAUUUCCCAAAUGAAGACUUAAUGUACGUUGUGACCAUGGAAGAAGACUCUCAAAAAGAUCAUCCUUGGAGACUGAAUUUUGAUGGAGCCUCAAAUGUUGUGGGUAAUGGAAUCGGGGCAGUUCUGGUACCCCCCAAAUAGAGAUCAUUAUCCCUUUACUAGUAAAUUGGAUUUUGAUUGCACAAAUAACAUGCGGAGUAUGAAACAUGCAUCAUGGGUAUCCGUGCGGCUAUUAAAUACAAAAUCAAGGUGUUAGAAGUAUAUGAAGAUUCUGCAUUAGUGAUCUAUCAGCUUAAAGGUGAAUGGGAGAUGAGAGACCCUAAAUUAAUCAAUUACCGAAAGCUGGUUCUGGAACUAAUUGAGGAGUUCGACGAUAUCACUUUUUGCUAUCUCCCACGAGAUGAAAACCAGAUGGCUGACGCCUUGGCAACUUUAGCUUCUAUGAUCAAAAUAAACAAGCAAGAGGAUGUGAAGCCUAUCCAGAUAAGUAUCUACGAGGCCCCGGCUCAUUGCUACAACAUUGAUGAAGAAGAGGAAAAAGACAAUCACCCUUGGUAUCAGGAUAUAUUACGAUAUGUAAGAAAUCGUGAAUACCCUGACCAAGCAACAGAAAAUGAUAAAAAGACAUUGAGAAGGCUAGCCAGUGACUAUGUCUUAGACGGAGAGAUCCAAUAUAAAAGAAGAAAGGAUCAGGUGCUCUUAAGAUGCGUGGAUGCUGUCGAGUCUAAGAAAAUCUUAGAAGAGGUCCAUGAGGGUGUCUGCGGAACAUACGUUAACGGUUUCACAAUGACUAGACAAAUCAUGAGGUUCAGAUAUUAUUGGUCCACUAUGAAGGGCGAUUGCAUCAACUAUGCCAAGAAGUGCCAUAAAUGUAAAAUUUAUGGAGAUAAGAUUCAUGUACCGCCUUUACCUCUUCAUGUCAUGACUUCCCCAUGGCCUUUUUCUAUGUUGGGCGUGGAUGUCAUAGGGCCGAUCUCACCAAAAGCAUCUAAUGGGAACCGAUUCAUCUUUGUGGUCAUCGAUUACUUCACCAAGUGGGUAGAAGCCACUUCUUAUGCCAACGUCACGAAAUCAGUAGUCAGCAAGUUCUUAAAGAAAGAGAUCAUAUGUCGAUAUGGAGUGCCUGAGAGGAUCAUAUCAGACAAUGAGCUGAACUUGAAUAACAGUACGAUAGCGGAAGUCUGUAGCUAAUUCAAGAUCAAACACCAUAACUCGUCGCCGUAUCACCCAAAAAUGAAUGGUGCAGUGGAAGCUGCCAAUAACAAAAUCAAGAAGAUCGUGGGAAAAAUGAUUGAGACUUAUAAAGACUGGCAUGAGAAGUUACCAUUCGCCCUUUACGCCUACCGAACAUUAGUCAGAACCUCUAUUGGGGCAACACCUUUCUCCUUAGUCUACGGAAUGGAAGCGGUUUUGCAAAUCGAAGUUGAGAUCCUGUCCCUUCGAGUGUUGUCAGAGUUAAAGUUAGAUGAAGCAGAAUGGAUCCAGUUCUGAUAUGAUCAGCUGAACUUAAUUGAAGAAAAGAGGCUGAAAGCUAUUCGUCAUGGUCAAAUGGACCAAAAGCGAAUGAUGCAAGCUUAUAACAAGAAAGUUCAUACUAGAGAAUUUUAUGAAGGAGACCUUGUUUUAAAAAAGAUUCUCCCCAUACAAAAGGAUUUCAGAGGAAAAUGAAUGCCAAAUUGAGAAGGACCUUAUGUGGUAAAGAAAGCCUUCUCUGGAGGGGCUUUGAUUUUGACUGAGAUGGAUGGAAAAAGUUUGCCUAACCCCAUGAAUUCAGAUUCGGUCAAGAGGUACUUUACUUAUAAAAAAAAAAAUAGGGAGAGGCUAAGGCGAAAACUCGCAAAAUGGCACUUUUAGACCAAAGCGGUUUUGAGUUGAAAACCCAGGAAUGGGCAAUUCAAAUUUUGCUUGAAAAUGGGGCAUACAGUAAUUUUGUCUUCUCUGAAUUAAAAAAGAGGGAUGCUACAUAUUGGGGCAUCAACAAAGUACUCUUGGUCUUCUAAACAUAUAUCAAGUUCAAAGGGUCCUCAAGAAGUUUUGGGCAAAGAAGCUCAUGCUAUGAUAUCUAGGGCACCUAUUUUUAUUCUUUUGUAUCUUAGCAAAAUUUGCUAUAUUGAUUAUCUUAUUCAUUUCGAGACUUUUCUCAAUAGAAUUCCAUCUUGUCCAUUGCGAUAAUCUUCUUCAAGCACUUUUCAUUGAAAUAACAAUUAAUGGACUAAUGAUAUUCAAAAGAAGUUUUACAUAUUACUCUGAAAUGAUUUUAAAAUGAUACAAGGACCUGAAACGGGACUAAUUAGUUUGAAUUACCCAAAUUUAAAGAAACAUUGGAAAAGAAUACCCCAAAUUGUUAUUAUUCUUUAAAAGAUACCAGCGGAAGGAAAAAGGAGUAAUAUGUCAUUGAUAAAACCUCGAUGAACAGCAAAUAAUAUCAAAUUAGGCAUUAAAAAUAACAUUUUUGCAUUCACGCUAACGUCAUCCAUGCGCAUCUAGUUAGGAGCAUUUGAUUCAUUCAUAACAUCCUAAUCAUUUAGCAUAUGCAUAGGCUCAAGAAAUCGAUUCUACAGGUCAUGUCCUUCAGAGGACGGUGUAGCAAGAUCGAUUGUAAUUACAAAUUUUGGCGAAUCUUAUCUUCCUGAAGUUGUAGUGAAGCAGAUCGAAGCCACUAACCUUAUCUCCCUAAAGUUGCAGUGGAGCAGACUGAAGAUGAUGAAUCUUAUCUUCCUGAAGUUGCAGUGAAGCAGAUCGAAGUAACUAACCUUAUCUCCCUGAAGUUGCAGUGGAGCAGACUAAAAAUAGCAAGUCUUAUUUCUCUGAAGUUGUAGUGGAACAGAUUGAAGCUAUGAAUAAACAGAUCUUAUCUCUUUGAAGUUGCAGUAGAGUAGAUCAAAACAAACCUUAUCUCCCUAAAGUUGCAGUAGAGCAAGUUGAAGUAGCAAGUCUUAUCUCCCUGAAGUUGCAGUGGAACAAACUAAAAAUAGUGAAUCUUAUUUCCCUGAAGUUGCAGUGGAACAGAUGGAAGCUAUGAAUUACAGAUCUUAUCUAUCUGAAGUUGCAGUAGAGCAGGUCAAAACAAGCCUUAUUUCCCUGAAGUUACAGUGAAACAGAUUGAAACUGUAGAUCUUAUCCCUCUGAAGUUGCAAUAGAGCAGAUCAAAACAAGUCUUAUCUCCCUGAAGUUGCAGUGGAACAAAUUGAAGCCAUAAAUUACAGAUCUUAUCUCUCUGAAGUUGCAGUAGAACAGAUCAAAACAAACCUUGUCUCCUUGAAGUUGCAGUGGAGCAGAUCGAAGUUACAAAUCUUACCCCCUGAAGUUGCAGUGGAGUAAAUCGAAGCUAUAGAUCACAAACCUUGCCUCCCUGAAGUUGCAGUGGAACAGGUUGAAAUAACAAGUCUUAUCUCCCUGGAGUUGUAGUAGAGCCGAUUGGAAUGAGGCAUAUUGAAGCUACUCGAAGAAAAGAAGCGCCAGGAGAAGUCGAGACUCAGCAAGCCCAGGCAAAAUUGGCCCUUUCAUAGUCUUUGCUUUAUUUUCGUUACACGACAAUAAGCACAGAGGGGCAGCUGUAACGAGCCUAUUUUGCCCUGGGCUAAACCAAUAACCCAAAAACAAAAAUAAAACCAAAAUAAGUUAAGAGUCUGAGUCCAAUUACAAAAAGAGCCUGAAUGUAAAACAUACCAGACCCAAAUUUACAAUCCAAAUAUAAAACCCAAAAUUUUAUAGGCCCAAAGCUAAAAAAACCUAGCCCAAGAAUAGCCCAAAACCUAAACUCAUUCAGCCAAAAAAAACCUAGGUGCCGUUCCCCCCUUUGUGUGCCUCGAGUGCGUCGUACCCCUCCAUGUUACCCUUGGCGCACACAUCGCCUGAUGGCUACUCCUUUGCACCAAAAUGGCAUGUUUUCACCCUUGUUGACCCUCUUAGCCCUGCAAAACAAUCCAGAAACGAGCAAGAACACAACAAAAGGCAACACGCGAAGACAAACAGUGGAGAAUAAAGGCUUAAACAAAAACAAAAAAAAAUAGAUUGUAUUUCGGCUAUAAAGCCAAGAAAGAACAUAUUGUAUUUUUUUUACAGACCAUUAAGCAAUCAAAAAACAAAAGGUUGAAUCUCAUCUUUUCUUCCCUAUUUU
RNAcentral lists this long non-coding RNA (43478 nucleotides) under Gossypium barbadense (sea-island cotton). RNAcentral's name for it is "long non-coding RNA (GBAR_LNC012228)". The record is from RNAcentral. Lineage: Eukaryota; Viridiplantae; Streptophyta; Magnoliopsida; Malvales; Malvaceae.